AAAAAAGUACUAUUUACGUUCGUUCAAACAUGUCAAACGUUGUAUAGCAUCAAUCUUUAGGGCCAUUUUAAGUUCAAACUUCAAUACAUUCCAACCGGACCCAUGCAUUGUCUUGAAAAAUGUUUUGGAACGCAGGUAUCUGCUAACGUGAACGCGCCCUGUGAACUGAAGUGUUUUUCUGGUCACCUGCUUACCAGCGUUCUCCUUCGGUCUGUGUUUACCGCAAAAGGCUCAAACAACUUUCUAAGACUGUUGACAUCUAGUGGAAUCCUUAGGAAGUGCUAUUUGAGUCCUAACUCACUGUGUGUCAGAAAGGCAAGGACUUGAGAAAACUACAGGAACCAGAAUUUCAUUUCCUGGUUGGAUUUCUCUCAGGUUUUUGCCUUCCAUAUGAGUUCUGUUAUACUCACAGACAUCAUUCAAACAGUUUUGGAAACUUUAGAGUGUUUUCUAUCCAAAUCUACUAAUCAUUUGCAAAUAUUUGACUCUGGGCCGGAGUAUUAGGCCGUUUACUCUGGGCACGCUUUUCAUCCAAAAGUGAAAAUACUGCCCCCUAGCCCUAAAAGGAUUUAUCCUAACUAGGGUUCCUAUGUAGGGUGGUUCAUCAUGUCUGUUAUCCUAACUAGGGUUCCUAUGUAGGGUGGUUCAUGUCUGUUAUCCUAACUAGGGUUCCUAUGUAGGGUGGUUCAUCAUGUCUGUUAUCCUAACUAGGGUUCCUAUGUAGGGUGGUUCAUCAUGUCUGUUAUCCUAACUAGGGUUCCUAUGUAGGGUGGUUCAUCAUGUCUGUUAUCCUAACUAGGGUUCCUAUGUAGGGUGGUUCAUCAUGUCUGUUAUCCUAACUAGGGUUCCUAUGUAGGGUGGUUCAUCAUGUCUUUUAUCCUAACUAGGGUUCCUAUGAAGGUGUGAUGCAUCAUUUGUUUUGUGAGUCUAAACUGUCUCAGAUUGCCGGCCAACACUUUCAUUUCUGUGUAUCUUUCUCUCCUUUUCAUUCUGUUGAAAGAUGUCCAGAAAGAUCAUAGUUACGCCCGACAGUCUACUACAGAUAUGUUCUAAAGUAUAUGCAAACACAUCAAUAAAUAUAUAUUUAUAUGUAGAAGAGUAGCUAGAUAUAGAUGACUGUAACAAUUUGCACAGUGUCUGAAGAGAAGUAAGGAGUGAUCCGUCUAAACAAAAUGGCUACCAAACUCCAACUCCCACAAUCCCCAGUGUCU
Molecule: long non-coding RNA, 1211 nt
Filed under: Salmo salar (Atlantic salmon)
Lineage: Eukaryota; Metazoa; Chordata; Actinopteri; Salmoniformes; Salmonidae
Description: lncRNA (ENSSSAG00000084754.1)
Source: RNAcentral